UGGGGAAUUUUGGACAAUGGGCGAAAGCCUGAUCCAGCCAUGCCGCGUGAGUGAAGAAGGCCUUCGGGUUGUAAAGCUCUUUCGGCCGGGAAGAAAUCGUGUGGGCUAAUACCCUGCAUGGAUGACGGUACCGGAAUAAGAAGCACCGGCUAACUACGUGCCAGCAGCCGCGGUAAUACGUAGGGUGCGAGCGUUAAUCGGAAUUACUGGGCGUAAAGCGUGCGCAGGCGGUUUGGUAAGACAGGCGUGAAAUCCCCGGGCUCAACCUGGGAACUGCGCUUGUGACUGCCUCACUAGAGUACGGCAGAGGGGGGUGGAAUUCCACGUGUAGCAGUGAAAUGCGUAGAGAUGUGGAGGAACACCGAUGGCGAAGGCAGCCCCCUGGGCCGAUACUGACGCU
Molecule: ribosomal RNA, 400 nt
Filed under: uncultured bacterium
Lineage: Bacteria
Description: bacterial SSU rRNA
Rfam family: Bacterial small subunit ribosomal RNA
Source: RNAcentral